GAAACCCUGAUCCAGCGACGCCGCGUGGGUGAAGAAGGCCUUAGGGUUGUAAACCCCUUUCACCGGGGAGGAUGAUGACGUUACCCGGAGAAGAAGCACCGGCUAACUCCGUGCCAGCAGCCGCGGUAAGACGGAGGGUGCUAGCGUUGUUCGGAAUCACUGGGCGUAAAGGGCGCGUAGGCGGCAUGGCCAGUCAGAUGUGAAAGCCCAGGGCUCAACCCUGGAACUGCAUUUGAUACUGCCAAGCUAGAGUUCGAGAGAGGGAAGUGGAAUACCCAGUGUAGAGGUGAAAUUCGUAGAUAUUGGGUGGAACACCAGUGGCGAAAGCGGCUUCCUGGCUCGAUACUGACGCUGAGGCGCGAAAGCGUGGGGAGCAAACAGGAUCAGAUACCCUGGUAGUCCACGCCCUAAACGAUGUGUGCUAGGCGUCGGGGGGCUUGCCCUUCGGUGCCGGAGCUAACGUGUUAAGCACACCGCCUGGGGAGUACGGUCGCAAGAUUAA
RNAcentral lists this ribosomal RNA (502 nucleotides) under uncultured Alphaproteobacteria bacterium. Its description in RNAcentral is "bacterial SSU rRNA". It matches the Rfam family "Bacterial small subunit ribosomal RNA", at positions 377 to 897 of the family's 1533-position model. The record is from RNAcentral. Lineage: Bacteria; Pseudomonadati; Pseudomonadota; Alphaproteobacteria.